UGCACCAGCUCAGCAUAAUGUUGCUUUCUCCCAAACAAGACCAGACUGUUUCCUAUCCCAAAGACAACACGGUCCGGCUCGAACCUACACACAGACCCAUUCUCACAUAGGCCGUCUCUCCGUGUCGGCGUGUCUCUCCCGCUUUCUGGCACCGACGCUCACACCAACAAGAGAGGAGGAGCGCGACAAGGCCGCGGAUUGUGAAGAUUGUGGCUGCCUCGUCGUAACUAGGCCAUUGUUUCUCCACCGAAUGUGGAGAGAUAUUCUAGGCUGAGAUGUUAUUAGUGUAACCCAGUUUGCCCAUCACCAGGUGACUGCAGGAGGAGAGACAGUAAUGAUUCUGCAUUUCUGAAUCAUUUGAAGACACUCAGAGAUUCCUGAAUCACUGAAGCUCAAGGUUUCCAGACAGGAGAUGUCAAAUUCUUAAAGAUUCAAUUCAAUUCAAAAU
This is a long non-coding RNA of Poecilia latipinna (sailfin molly), 448 nucleotides long. RefSeq lists it as uncharacterized. Lineage: Eukaryota; Metazoa; Chordata; Actinopteri; Cyprinodontiformes; Poeciliidae. The transcript has 2 exons. The record is from RefSeq and is a predicted model, not a curated record.